GAAUUUUAUAUAAAAAUAUUUUAAGUUAGUUUAUUUUGAAUAUUUAGUAUUUAGUUGGGAGGAUUAUUAAAUUUAAGAAACUUUAAUAUUUAAUUACAUAGAUUAAUGAAUUAUAUAAAUAAAGAUUGAUUUAAAAAUGUAUAAAGAGUAAAUUACCUUAGGGAUAACAGCGUAAUAUUUUUAGAGAGAUCAUAUUAAUAAAAAUUAUUGC
This 211-nucleotide ribosomal RNA is filed under the name Apterostigma pilosum. RNAcentral describes it as "partial large subunit ribosomal RNA". The record is from RNAcentral. Lineage: Eukaryota; Metazoa; Arthropoda; Insecta; Hymenoptera; Formicidae.